RNAcentral lists this ribosomal RNA (1372 nucleotides) under uncultured bacterium. RNAcentral describes it as "bacterial SSU rRNA". It matches the Rfam family "Bacterial small subunit ribosomal RNA", at positions 28 to 1381 of the family's 1533-position model. The record is from RNAcentral.
GAUGAACGCUGGCGGCGUGCCUAAUACAUGCAAGUCGAGCGAACGGACGAGAAGCUUGCUUCUCUGAUGUUAGCGGCGGACGGGUGAGUAACACGUGGAUAACCUACCUAUAAGACUGGGAUAACUUCGGGAAACCGGAGCUAAUACCGGAUAAUAUUUUGAACCGCAUGGUUCAAAAGUGAAAGACGGUCUUGCUGUCACUUAUAGAUGGAUCCGCGCUGCAUUAGCUAGUUGGUAAGGUAACGGCUUACCAAGGCAACGAUGCAUAGCCGACCUGAGAGGGUGAUCGGCCACACUGGAACUGAGACACGGUCCAGACUCCUACGGGAGGCAGCAGUAGGGAAUCUUCCGCAAUGGGCGAAAGCCUGACGGAGCAACGCCGCGUGAGUGAUGAAGGUCUUCGGAUCGUAAAACUCUGUUAUUAGGGAAGAACAUAUGUGUAGGUAACUGUGCACAUCUUGACGGUACCUAAUCAGAAAGCCACGGCUAACUACGUGCCAGCAGCCGCGGUAAUACGUAGGUGGCAAGCGUUAUCCGGAAUUAUUGGGCGUAAAGCGCGCGUAGGCGGUUUUUUAAGUCUGAUGUGAAAGCCCACGGCUCAACCGUGGAGGGUCAUUGGAAACUGGAAAACUUGAGUGCAGAAGAGGAAAGUGGAAUUCCAUGUGUAGCGGUGAAAUGCGCAGAGAUAUGGAGGAACACCAGUGGCGAAGGCGACUUUCUGGUCUGUAACUGACGCUGAUGUGCGAAAGCGUGGGGAUCAAACAGGAUUAGAUACCCUGGUAGUCCACGCCGUAAACGAUGAGUGCUAAGUGUUAGGGGGUUUCCGCCCCUUAGUGCUGCAGCUAACGCAUUAAGCACUCCGCCUGGGGAGUACGACCGCAAGGUUGAAACUCAAAGGAAUUGACGGGGACCCGCACAAGCGGUGGAGCAUGUGGUUUAAUUCGAAGCAACGCGAAGAACCUUACCAAAUCUUGACAUCCUUUGACAACUCUAGAGAUAGAGCUUUCCCCUUCGGGGGACAAAGUGACAGGUGGUGCAUGGUUGUCGUCAGCUCGUGUCGUGAGAUGUUGGGUUAAGUCCCGCAACGAGCGCAACCCUUAAGCUUAGUUGCCAUCAUUAAGUUGGGCACUCUAAGUUGACUGCCGGUGACAAACCGGAGGAAGGUGGGGAUGACGUCAAAUCAUCAUGCCCCUUAUGAUUUGGGCUACACACGUGCUACAAUGGACAAUACAAAGGGCAGCGAAACCGUGAGGUCAAGCAAAUCCCAUAAAGUUGUUCUCAGUUCGGAUUGUAGUCUGCAACUCGACUACAUGAAGCUGGAAUCGCUAGUAAUCGUAGAUCAGCAUGCUACGGUGAAUACGUUCCCGGGUCU